UUAAGCAUAUCAAUAAGCGGAGGAAAAGAAACUAACAAGGAUUCCCUUAGUAACUGCGAGUGAAGUGGGAAGAGCUCAAAUUUGAAAUCUGGCAGCUCUAUAGUUGUCCGAAUUGUAAUCUGGAGAAGUGCUACCUGUGUGGGACGAAAA
This 150-nucleotide ribosomal RNA is filed under the name Inosperma africanum. Its description in RNAcentral is "partial large subunit ribosomal RNA". It matches the Rfam family "Eukaryotic large subunit ribosomal RNA", at positions 34 to 180 of the family's 3401-position model. The record is from RNAcentral. Lineage: Eukaryota; Fungi; Basidiomycota; Agaricomycetes; Agaricales; Inocybaceae.